AUGCACAUAGUGAGAUGCGCACGCCGGCCUGUCCCUCCUACAACACGUCAAAGCUCACUUCGAGUCCAAUCCGGCCGUUCACGUGGAGUUCUUCGCCCUCCUCACGCGCUUCGGCAAGCCCUCCUCGCGCGCUUCGGCAAGGGCGAGAUCUCCAACAUCCGCGACGUCGUUGACAACACGUAUGCGCUCCUCCAGGGCCAUCCCGACCUCAUCCAGCACUUCGAUGCCUUCAACCCAUUUCUCUGUUGCCCCGGCCAGCACGAAGCCGAGUCCGCCCACAAGGAUCCGCCGACGCGGCCCAAGAGGGAGCGUCGUCGCUCGGUUGUCGUCGACGCCGAUUGUGCCGGACCAUGCAGUUCCUCGAGCGGGUGA
This 372-nucleotide ribosomal RNA is filed under the name Triticum aestivum (bread wheat). RNAcentral's name for it is "partial small subunit ribosomal RNA". Lineage: Eukaryota; Viridiplantae; Streptophyta; Magnoliopsida; Poales; Poaceae. The record is from RNAcentral.